CCCUAGAGGUUUUUAUCCUGGCUCAGAAUUAACGCUGGCGGCGGCCUAACCAUGCAAGUCGAGCGGUAACAUUUCAAAAGCUUGCUUUUGAAGAUGACGAGCGGCGGACGGGUGAGUAAUGCCUGGGAAUUUGCCCUUUGUGGGGGAUAACAGUUGGAAACGACUGNUAAUACCGCAUACGCCCUACGGGGGAAAGCGGGGACUUGGUCCUGCGCUGAUGGAUAGCCCAGGUGGGAUUAGCUAGUAGGUGAGGUAAUGGCUCACCUAGGCAACGAUCCCUAGCUGGUUGAGAGGAUGAUCAGCCACCUGGGACUGAGACACGGCCCAGACUCCUACGGGAGGCAGCAGUGGGGAAUAUUGCACAAUGGGGGAAACCCUGAUGCAGCCUGCCGCGUGUGUGAAGAAGGCCUUCGGGUUGUAAAGCACUUUCAGCGAGGAGGAAAGGUUAGUAGUUAUACCUGCUAGCUGUGUACGUUAUCCGCAGAAGAAGCCCGGCUAAUCCUGAGG
This 507-nucleotide ribosomal RNA is filed under the name Shewanella sp. DR4. RNAcentral describes it as "bacterial SSU rRNA". It matches the Rfam family "Bacterial small subunit ribosomal RNA", at positions 1 to 508 of the family's 1533-position model. The record is from RNAcentral. Lineage: Bacteria; Pseudomonadati; Pseudomonadota; Gammaproteobacteria; Alteromonadales; Shewanellaceae.